UGUCCUCUAAAUAGGGACCAGUAUGAAUGGCAACAUGAGAAAGUAGCUGUCUCUUUAGGUUAGCCAAUGAACUUGACCUGUCUGUACAAAUGCAGACAUAAAAAAACAAGACAAAAAGACCCUGUGAAGCUUUAAAUGCAAAUCAACAAACUGAUCAAUACAUUUUUGGUUGGGGCAACCAAAGAGAAAUAUAAACCUCGAAACCAGUCACACGGCCAACAAGCCAACUGACAUACAACAGACCCAGUAUUACUGAUUAAAGAACCAAGUUACUCCAGGGAUAACAGCGCUACAUUCUUGAAGAGUCCGUAUCAACAAGAAUACCUACGACCUCGAUGUUGGAUUAGGGUACCCAGAUGGCGCAAAAGUUAUCAACGGUUCGUUUGUUCAACGAUUAAAAC
This 401-nucleotide ribosomal RNA is filed under the name Coryphophylax subcristatus. Its description in RNAcentral is "partial 16S ribosomal RNA". It matches the Rfam family "Bacterial large subunit ribosomal RNA", at positions 1970 to 2594 of the family's 2925-position model. The record is from RNAcentral. Lineage: Eukaryota; Metazoa; Chordata; Lepidosauria; Squamata; Agamidae.